CUGGAGGUAUCAGAAGUGCGAAUGCUGACAUAAGUAACGAUAAAGCGGGUGAAAAGCCCGCUCGCCGGAAGACCAAGGGUUCCUGUCCAACGUUAAUCGGGGCAGGGUGAGUCGACCCCUAAGGCGAGGCCGAAAGGCGUAGUCGAUGGGAAACAGGUUAAUAUUCCUGUACUUGGUGUUACUGCGAAGGGGGGACGGAGAAGGCUAUGUUGGCCGGGCGACGGUUGUCCCGGUUUAAGCGUGUAGGCUGGUUUUCCAGGCAAAUCCGGAAAAUCAAGGCUGAGGCGUGAUGACGAGGCACUACGGUGCUGAAGCAACAAAUGCCCUGCUUCCAGGAAAAGCCUCUAAGCAUCAGGUAACAUCAAAUCGUACCCCAAACCGACACAGGUGGUCAGGUAGAGAAUACCAAGGCGCUUGAGAGAACUCGGGUGAAGGAACUAGGCAAAAUGGUGCCGUAACUUCGGGAGAAGGCACGCUGAUAUGUAGGUGAGGUCCCUCGCGGAUGGAGCUGAAAUCAGUCGAAGAUACCAGCUGGCUGCAACUGUUUAUUAAAAACACAGCACUGUGCAAACACGAAAGUGGACGUAUACGGUGUGACGCCUGCCCGGUGCCGGAAGGUUAAUUGAUGGGGUUAGCGCAAGCGAAGCUCUUGAUCGAAGCCCCGGUAAACGGCGGCCGUAACUAUAACGGUCCUAAGGUAGCGAAAUUCCUUGUCGGGUAAGUUCCGACCUGCACGAAUGGCGUAAUGAUGGCCAGGCUGUCUCCACCCGAGACUCAGUGAAAUUGAACUCGCUGUGAAGAUGCAGUGUACCCGCGGCAAGACGGAAAGACCCCGUGAACCUUUACUAUAGCUUGACACUGAACAUUGAGCCUUGAUGUGUAGGAUAGGUGGGAGGCUUAGAAGUGUGGACGCCAGUCUGCAUGGAGCCGACCUUGAAAUACCACCCUUUAAUGUUUGAUGUUCUAACGUUGACCCGUAAUCCGGGUUGCGGACAGUGUCUGGUGGGUAGUUUGACUGGGGCGGUCUCCUCCUAAAGAGUAACGGAGGAGCACGAAGGUUGGCUAAUCCUGGUCGGACAUCAGGAGGUUAGUGCAAUGGCAUAAGCCAGCUUGACUGCGAGCGUGACGGCGCGAGCAGGUGCGAAAGCAGGUCAUAGUGAUCCGGUGGUUCUGAAUGGAAGGGCCAUCGCUCAACGGAUAAAAGGUACUCCGGGGAUAACAGGCUGAUACCGCCCAAGAGUUCAUAUCGACGGCGGUGUUUGGCACCUCGAUGUCGGCUCAUCACAUCCUGGGGCUGAAGUAGGUCCCAAGGGUAUGGCUGUUCGCCAUUUAAAGUGGUACGCGAGCUGGGUUUAGAACGUCGUGAGACAGUUCGGUCCCUAUCUGCCGUGGGCGCUGGAGAACUGAGGGGGGCUGCUCCUAGUACGAGAGGACCGGAGUGGACGCAUCACUGGUGUUCGGGUUGUCAUGCCAAUGGCACUGCCCGGUAGCUAAAUGCGGAAGAGAUAAGUGCUGAAAGCAUCUAAGCACGAAACUUGCCCCGAGAUGAGUUCUCCCUGACUCCUUGAGAGUCCUGAAGGAACGUUGAAGACGACGACGUUGAUAGGCCGGGUGUGUAAGCGCAGCGAUGCGUUGAGCUAACCGGUACUAAUGAACCGUGAGG
This 1663-nucleotide ribosomal RNA is filed under the name Escherichia coli. RNAcentral's name for it is "partial 23S ribosomal RNA". It matches the Rfam family "Bacterial large subunit ribosomal RNA", at positions 1273 to 2915 of the family's 2925-position model. The record is from RNAcentral. Lineage: Bacteria; Pseudomonadati; Pseudomonadota; Gammaproteobacteria; Enterobacterales; Enterobacteriaceae.